This 829-nucleotide ribosomal RNA is filed under the name uncultured organism. RNAcentral's name for it is "bacterial SSU rRNA". It matches the Rfam family "Bacterial small subunit ribosomal RNA", at positions 599 to 1430 of the family's 1533-position model. The record is from RNAcentral.
AUGCUGUGGCUUAACCAUAGAAUUGCCAUUGAAACUGCAAGUCUUGAGUACAGUUGAGGUGGGCGGAAUGAGUAAUGUAGCGGUGAAAUGCAUAGAUAUUACUCAGAACUCCGAUUGCGUAGGCAGCUUGCUAAACUGUAACUGACGCUGAUGCACGAAAGCGUGGGGAGCGAACAGGAUUAGAUACCCUGGUAGUCCACGCUGUAAACGAUGAGCACUGGUUGUUGGCAAUACACCGUCAGCGACUGAGCGAAAGUAUUAAGUGCUCCACCUGGGGAGUACGUCGGCAACGAUGAAACUCAAAGGAGUUGACGGGGGCCCGCACAAGCGGAGGAACAUGUGGUUUAAUUCGAUGAUACGCGAGGAACCUUACCUGGGCUUAAAUGUAGAGUGCAUUGCUUGGAAACAGGCAUUUUCUUCGGAACUCUUUACAAGGUGCUGCAUGGUUGUCGUCAGCUCGUGCCGUGAGGUGUCGGGUUAAGUCCCAUAACGAGCGCAACCCCUAUUGUUAGUUACCAGCACGUAAUGGUGGGGACUCUAGCAAGACUGCCGGUGUAAACCGUGAGGAAGGUGGGGAUGACGUCAAAUCAGCACGGCCCUUAUGUCCAGGGCUACACACGUGUUACAAUGGCAAGUACAAAGAGCAGCCACCUGGCGACAGGGCGCUAAUCUCAAAAGCUUGCCUCAGUUCGGAUCGAAGUCUGCAACUCGACUUCGUGAAGGUGGAUUCGCUAGUAAUCGCGCAUCAGCCAUGGCGCGGUGAUACGUUCCCGGGCAUUGUACACACCGCCCGUCAAGCCAUGGAAGCACGGGGGUACACUGAAGUCCG